This 2707-nucleotide ribosomal RNA is filed under the name Pylaiella littoralis. Its description in RNAcentral is "bacterial LSU rRNA". It matches the Rfam family "Bacterial large subunit ribosomal RNA". The record is from RNAcentral. Lineage: Eukaryota; Phaeophyceae; Ectocarpales; Acinetosporaceae.
UAAUAUAAUAAUAAAGUAUGGAAGGGAUGCCUUGGAAGAAAAUAAUAGGCGUGAUUAAUCAUGCAAAGUGUUGGCACGAGGAAAACCUGUGAGACGCCAGAUCACGGAUCCUAAUACGGUAAACCGGAGCUAUAAAGCUCGCUGUUAAGCAGUAUUAAGGGGAAGUGAAACAUCUCAGUACCCCUGUAAACCAAAUCAACCGAGACGUCGUUAGUAGUGGUGAGCGAAAGCGAUAAAAGGCAAAACGAAAUAAAUUGUUUUAAAUUUUAAUUUAAAUACAAGCAAAAGAGUGAAGUGAUAAUAAAUUAUCUACCUGAGAAGGUGUUAGUCCUGUAAUAAUUUUUUUUUUCGUGAUAGUAGGGUAAGGCAAGUUUACCUCACCCGAGUAUUGGGGGACCCACCUCAAAGCCUAAGGUUUUUUUCUUACCGAUAGUGAACAAGUACCGUGAGGGAAAGGUGAAAAGAAUUGUGAUUGUGCAAAGAACCUGAAAUUCCAUAUUUGAGUCGAAGCAGUUUAAUGCAACGGCAUACCUUUUGUAUAAUGGGCAAGUGAAUCUUAGUAAAGGGCAAGCUUAAUCUAUUAAAGUGAAGGCGAAGAGAAAUCGAGUCUUGAAUGGCGUUUUAAAGUCCUUUGCUAAGUACCCGAAACCGGCUGAUCUAAACUUGAGCAGGCUGAUAUUGUAGUGGCAACACUCUUUGGAGGGCCGAACCCGUGUAUGUGGCAAAAUACUGGGAUGACUUGAGUUUAGGGGUGAAAGGCCAAUCAAAGUCGGUGAUAGCUGGAUUUCUGCGAAAUCUAUUGAAGUAGAGCGUUUUAUUUAGAAAGUCUGGGGUAGAGCACUGUGCAAGCAAGGGGGAGAUAAUCUCUUACUAAACUUUGGCAAACUCCGAAUACAGAUUUUUUCAUUUAGAGCAGACAGAGUAUGCGUGCAAAGAUGCAUACUCGAGAGGGAAACAGCCCAGACUGUUAGCUAAGGUCCAUAAAAUAGUUUCAGUGGUAAAGGUGACAUUUGCUCCGAGACCGUCAGAAGGUAGGCUUGGAAGCAGCCAUUCUUUUAAGACAGCGUAACAGCUCACUGACCUAGAGUAAUAGUCCGCCAAUUAUAGGGCUUAAAACUAUUACCGAAGCUCCGAGACAAAUUAUUUGUGGUAGCAGAACCUUCCGUAGUCAUAAAAGUUUUAUUGUAAAGUAAAAUGAAGAUAUCGGAGGUGAGAAUACUUGCAUGAGUAGCAUAAAACAAUGAAAUUAAAGCAUUGUGGGCCGUAAGUCCAAGGUUUCGAUCCUAAGUAAAGCUAGGUCGUGAGAGGUAAAAACCUCAAAUUAAAACGGUCCCUAAGCUGUCCCGGAAGGCCUCCAGUAAUGGGCAAGAUUACGAAUAAUCUGUUAAGAGUUGCUGACGAAAAAUUCACUUUAUUCUUGAGACUGUCAAGGGUGAUUUAUUUUUUCCAAGAAAAAGGCACUCUAUAUGAACCGUACCUUAAACACCACAGGUGGACAGGUGGAGUACACUAAGGCCUUGAGAUAACCCUGUUGAAGGAACUCGGCAAAAUGACUCUGUAACUUCGGAAUAAGGGGUAAAGUUAUUAGCGUAAGCUUUUAUCUUUGACACAAAAUCGGGGGUGGCGACUGUUUAUUAAAAACACAGGUCUCUGCUAACUCGCAAGAGGAUGUAUAGGGACUGACACCUGCCCGGUGCCGGCAGGUAAAGCUUGAAUGUUUACGCGUUUAAGUCAAACCCCGGUAAACGGCGGCUGUAACUAUGACGGUCCUAAGGUAGCGAAAUUCCUUGUCGGGUAAGUUCCGACCCGCAUGAAUGGUGUAACGACUUCCCCGCUGUCUCCAACAGGGACUCAGUGAAAUUACAUAGGUCGUGAAGAUGCGACCAUCCUGCAGCUGGACGGAAAGACCCCGUGCACCUUUACUAUAAGCAAGUAUUGUAAAUCAAAGACUUAAGUGUAGAAUAGGUGGGAGCCGGCGACUUAUUCUCGCUAGAGAUUAAUGAGGCAGUAGUGAAAUACCACCCAAAGAUCUGUUGAUUUACUAACAACAACAACAACUAAAGGACAGUGCUUGCUGGGUAGUUUGACUGGGGCGGUCGCUCCUAAAGAGUAACGGAGGCAUACAAAGGUAGGCUCAUCCCCCUAUAAGGAGUCGAGUGUAAUGGCAUAAGCCUGCUUGACUGUAAGAAAUACAUUUCAAUCAGGGACGUAAGUCGGUCAUAGUGAUCCGGUGGUUCUUCGUGGAAAGGCCAUCGCGCAAUGGAUAAAAGGUACGCCGGGGAUAACAGGCUAAUGAUCCUCUAGAGUCCCUAUCGACGGGUUCGUUUGGCACCUCGAUGUCGACUCAUCACAUCCUGGAGCUGGAAAAGGUUCCAAGGGUUCGGCUGUUCGCCGACGAAAGUGGUACGUGAGUUGGGUUUAGAACGUCGUGAGACAGUUUGGUCCCUAUCUUCUGUGGGUGUUUGAAAAUUAAGAGGACUAAACCUUAGUACGAGAGGACCGGGAAACUUGAUCCCUUGUGUUCCGGUUGUUCCCACAGGGCAACGCGGGUAGCUACAUCAAGAAGAGAUAAUCGACCAUUUCGGCGAGAAACUCUCCUCAAGUAAAAUUUUCGUGAGUAGGUGGAAGAUUACCACUUGGAUAGGCGGGAAGUGUAAGAGCUGUAAAGUUUUCAGCUGAUCCGUACUAAUAUCUCAAUAAGGUUUUU